Molecule: ribosomal RNA, 431 nt
Filed under: Anolis tropidogaster
Lineage: Eukaryota; Metazoa; Chordata; Lepidosauria; Squamata; Anolidae
Description: partial 16S ribosomal RNA
Rfam family: Bacterial large subunit ribosomal RNA
Source: RNAcentral
AUGAAGACCUGUAUGAACGGCUAUAUGAGUAUUUAACUGUCUCCUUUAACUAAUCAGUGAAACUGAUCUUUCAGUACAAAAGCUGGAAUANUUUACAUAAGACGAGAAGACCCCGUGGAGCUUUAAAUUUUUUAACAAAGCAUCAUUAAAAGACGCCUAUGAUAAAAAAUUUUUUAGUUGGGGCGACUUUGGAGAAAAACUUAACCUNCCAAGAAAAGGUACCACCUAACUCUAGGCUUACAAGCCAAACUCCAUAGACCCAGUAUUUAAUACUGAUUAACGAACCAAGUUACCCCAGGGAUAACAGCGCCAUCUUCUUCAAGAGUUCAUAUCGACAAGAGGGUUUACGACCUCGAUGUUGGAUCAGGACACCCAAAUGGUGUAGCCGCUAUUAAAGGUUCGUUUGUUCAACGAUUAACAGUCCUACGUGA